This 1394-nucleotide long non-coding RNA is filed under the name Bos mutus (wild yak). RNAcentral's name for it is "lncRNA (ENSBMUG00000025229.1)". Lineage: Eukaryota; Metazoa; Chordata; Mammalia; Artiodactyla; Bovidae. The record is from RNAcentral.
GGGAGGGCUAGGGGAGCACUUCAGGCCUCUACGUCGGUGCAAAUCCACGCCGUGGAAGAUGUUUCUGCAUUCCCAUACAGAGUACAUUGUUUGGGUUCUAAAGGAUCCAGAUCGUCGCGGACCGAGAAGCUUGACUGCCUCUGCUCCCGAAUGGGCCGCGCACAUCUGUCUGAAGCCCCAGUCCUCUGAGCGGCAGAGAAGGAAAUGCUGGGUGGAGGGUUCCCACUCACGCAUGCCCUUCCGCGCCUCUCGCCCACUGGGCCUGGGCUUGGAUUUUGCAACCAUUUCCAUCACCGCUGCUGUACUUGGCGCAGCCCUGCUGGAAACCGGCAGGGAGCCCGCGGAAGAAAACCGCAACGCCAACCAGGCCUUCACGUCGAAGCGCCGCAGCAAAUGGCCUCACCUGGUUUGGCUGCGUCUUGCCGAGGAACAAGGAGGAGAUGGAAGGCCCUCUUUCUUUCAUCGACUGACCUGGGCGCACACUCUGGAAACCAAAGGGUCCCAAGGACAAUUACUGUCAGACAUUCCCCCACUCAAACCCAGGAAACUUAAUUUACACUACUUCAGGAGAAAUUCCUGUAUCAUCUACAAAGGAUGUGUUGUCUUUCCAUGCGCAUAACAAACCAGUUGAAGCAAAACAAAGGAUCUCAAACUUACGUAUCUUCAGUCUUGAAAGGUCCCUCUGUGUUAAUGGAUGUAAUUAAAGGCCUUCUAGGUUUGCUGAUAGAUACUAGAACCGAUCAUCUCACAUGUCCGCCAUCGGAGAGUCCCAAGCUCCAGUCUCCACGUGAAUUUCCGGACUCUUCCAUAGCCCUUCCGGUAGAAUCCAGGUGGCCCCAUAGUUCUGCCUUUAGCAGGAGAGCUAUUUCCUAGGAGUAACUGGGUGGGCUGCAAUCCGCCUGCCUCUUCACGUUGAGAAACGCUUCUCUUGUGGGAACGUCUGUUUCUAUUCAUCCGAUUUUCUAAUGUCUUUGAUCAGCCUAAAUAUUUUCUUGGCAAACGGAAAUUGACCAUGCCAUGAAUAUGAUAACAACCUGCUUGGAAAGAAGCUAUUUUGUUUCGAAGCAGCAAGGGGGAGUGGGGGGCCGGGAAGCCAGGGAAGGGAGUAGGGGUCGGGUAACUAGCUGGCUGGUAAGAAUGCCUGAAAUAGAUUCCUGAACAUACAUCUUUUUGCAGUCUCUGAAGCAGCUUUUUGAAAGAUAGUCAGAUAAACACACACCUGGGCUCCUAAAAGUCUUUGAUACACUUUAUAUUUAAAAAAACAGAACUUCAAUGGACGCCUCUGGAGAAUUUCCCUUUAAAACAUAGAUGAAAGGCAAGGUUAAUACAAUGUUCUCUUAAUCCCUUUGGCUUGUGAGUCAAAAUAAAUAUGUUCUUCUGCAUGUGAUUGUACA